AUCUACAGCCAUACUACCCUGAACAAGCCCGAUCCUGUCUGAUCUUGGAAGCUAAGCAGGGUCGGGCCUGGUUAGUACUUGGAUGGGAGGCCACCUAGGAAAACCAGGUGCUGUAGGCA
Molecule: ribosomal RNA, 119 nt
Filed under: Pteropus alecto (black flying fox)
Lineage: Eukaryota; Metazoa; Chordata; Mammalia; Chiroptera; Pteropodidae
Source: RNAcentral